AUGAGUAAACAACUUUUUUUUUUGUUGAUAAAUUUGAGUUAAAGUUUUUAUUUUUAGUUGCACUCUGAGCCUGACAUCUGUUUUGGUGGCAGCCACCGUGUCCUCUAUGCCUUGUGUGUGCUAUCUCAGAUUGUCAAUGAUAGCAGGGUGUUACUUGGAGGCGGGUGGCCUGAAAUGGUAAUGGCAAAGGAAAUUGAUGCAUUGGAUAGAAAAACUCGAGGAAAGAAAUCUCUUACAAUGGAGGCAUUUACCCGGGCACUCUUGGCUAUCCCAACAACCAUUGCUGAUAAUGCUGGUUUGGACAGUGCUGAGUUGAUUUCUUAACUCCGUGUUGCGCACCAGAACGAGGGAUGUACUGCUGGAAUUGAUGUCGUCUCUGGUUCCGUUAGAGACAUGUUUGAACAGGGCAUUUGUGAAGCAUUCAAAGUCAAUCAGGCUGUGUUGCUAUCUGCAACAGAGGGAGCUGCUGAGAUGAUCCUUAGAGUCGAUGAUAUAAUAACAUGUGCUCCAAGGAGGAGAGAAGAAAGAAUAUUGUAAAAAUCUAGUGAUCACCCAACUUUCAGAUGCUUUGCCAUGCCUUGCAAAUUCUGACUUUUUCCAGAUGUUAGGUAGUUGGAUGUGCAACAUUAAGAUUGAAAAAGCAAAGAUUUCAUGCCCUUGUUGGUUUCAUGUGGGAUCAAAACCAUUGAUACAGAGAACUUUAGACGUAAGCUCUAAACAUGCAAGAGCUUGACACAAAAUUGAGCAUAACAUAGGUUGCGCCAGAGUUGAAGCAAAGAUAGGUUGUAGAUUUGUUAGUUAUCAUUUAUCUUGCGCCAAAGUUGCAUGUAACUUGACUUGUUUUUACAAGUAUUAACUAGUUCAAGAAGUAUCUUGAGUGAUCAUGAUGUACUAUGAAUUAUGACUGACUUGUUCUUUUCUUUUCACUGUCUGUUUUGGUCAUAUUAUUAAGCACAAGGAGCUGAGGUUACAAAUGAAGACCAUAGUGGUUUUGUUUAGGCAUAUUCAUGUAGAACAAAAAUAGGAUCUGGGGAAUAUCAUCAAGUCUCCAAAAUUCUUAUGUGAUAAUAAUUUAUUAUAAGUAAAACACGGCGCAAACAACCAUAGUUCUACUAGUACUGGUUCAAAAAUCUUGAAACUUAAUAUUAAAUAGAAAACAGUGCAUCAAUCCCUCUAUUUGUAAGAAUUUUCAAGAUUUAGCAACUACAUGGUGAAUUGUCAAAGCUAAAUCACAUCAUAUAUUAACACAGCAGUAAUCAUAAAUAUUUAAAAGGCACUCUGCAUUCCCUUGGAGUUAUUCUAUAUUACAAUGACCACAAAGCUAAUGAUCAGCAAUAAAAACUUCCUCGAGCCAUUUCGUUUUAUUGUUAAAACUUGUUUAUUUUUCUGCAUUUGACUAUAAAUGCUUGACUGUACUGGUCUGUCACUUGUCUUUCUUUGAAUGGUCAGCUGUUGAAGGAUCUGCUGCAUGUAUUUCUGUUGCUAAUAUAACACCAUUGCCUUUUUAUGUAGUGAAUUUUUGGCGGUUUCAGCGGAUUCAUUGGUUGUUGAGUCAUUAAUAGAGCUAUUGGAUAAUGAGAGUUUGAGGAAAGACACAACACAGCCUUCUCCUGAAUGGUCAUUAGAUCAUAUAGUUCUCUUAGUUGAGUUUCGCUGCUGCAAAAAUACACCCAGGCAAUGCAAUGACUCUUAACCGAUAAGGUACAUUAAGUUUGAUACAUUCACUCCCGCAGCAGAACGAGGGCUUCCUGUUACUAGAGUUAUUAGUCGAAUGGCUUUGCAAGAGAUUCUUGCUCAUGCAGACGGGGAUGAUGUCAAUAUGAAUGGUUGUAAUGUUGUCGAUUUCAUUGAUCAUGAAACUAAGGGCGGCCACAGAGACAUUUGCUCAUAAUUGGGUGGAGUGCAUUUGCGAACAAGAAAAAGCUAAUGGCUCUUUUCCAAGACCAGUUGGGUAUCUCCCUCGCCCUUAUAAGGCACCUUACUCACGUAGAGAAAGUAAUGAUUCUGUCAAUGAUGAAACAAGUGAGGGAAGUGUAGAAGAGGAAAGAAAGAUUAUGAGAGAUAAAAGUGAGGGCAGGGAAGAAUAGGAAAGAACGAUGAUAUGUACAUCUACUGCAGAUGAUAGGCACUAUUAGUUGCUUAAUGUUAACUGA
This is a long non-coding RNA of Medicago truncatula (barrel medic), 2153 nucleotides long. RefSeq lists it as uncharacterized. The record is from RefSeq and is a predicted model, not a curated record. The transcript is spliced from 6 exons. NCBI's taxonomy places the organism in Eukaryota, Viridiplantae, Streptophyta, Magnoliopsida, Fabales, Fabaceae.